GAUGAACGCUGGCGGCGUGCCUAAUACAUGCAAGUAGAACGCUGAAGGAAGGAGCUUGCUCUUUCCGGAUGAGUUGCGAACGGGUGAGUAACGCGUAGGUAACCUGCCUGGUAGCGGGGGAUAACUAUUGGAAACGAUAGCUAAUACCGCAUAACAGUAGAUGUUGCAUGACAUCUGCUUGAAAGGGGCAAUUGCUCCACUACCAGAUGGACCUGCGUUGUAUUAGCUAGUUGGUGAGGUAACGGCUCACCAAGGCGACGAUACAUAGCCGACCUGAGAGGGUGAUCGGCCACACUGGGACUGAGACACGGCCCAGACUCCUACGGGAGGCAGCAGUAGGGAAUCUUCGGCAAUGGACGGAAGUCUGACCGAGCAACGCCGCGUGAGUGAAGAAGGUUUUCGGAUCGUAAAGCUCUGUUGUAAGAGAAGAACGAGUGUGAGAGUGGAAAGUUCACACUGUGACGGUAUCUUACCAGAAAGGGACGGCUAACUACGUGCCAGCAGCCGCGGUAAUACGUAGGUCCCGAGCGUUAUCCGGAUUUAUUGGGCGUAAAGCGAGCGCAGGCGGUUAGAUAAGUCUGAAGUUAAAGGCUGUGGCUUAACCAUAGUACGCUUUGGAAACUGUUUAACUUGAGUGCAAGAGGGGGAGAGUGGAAUUCCAUGUGUAGCGGUGAAAUGCGUAGAUAUAUGGAGGAACACCGGUGGCGAAAGCGGCUCUCUGGCUUGUAACUGACGCUGAGGCUCGAAGCGUGGGGAGCAAACGGG
Molecule: ribosomal RNA, 765 nt
Filed under: uncultured Streptococcus sp.
Lineage: Bacteria; Bacillati; Bacillota; Bacilli; Lactobacillales; Streptococcaceae
Description: bacterial SSU rRNA
Rfam family: Bacterial small subunit ribosomal RNA
Source: RNAcentral